GACGAACGCUGGCGGCGUGCUUAACACAUGCAAGUCGAGCGGUAAGGCCCUUUCGGGGAUACACGAGCGGCGAACGGGUGAGUAACACGUGGGUGACCUGCCCUCAGCUCUGGGAUAAGCCUGGGAAACUGGGUCUAAUACUGGAUAUGACUCCACGGUGCAUGUCGUGGGGUGGAAAGCCUUGUGCGGCUGAGGAUGGGCCCGCGGCCUAUCAGCUUGUUGGGGGGUGAUGGCCUACCAAGGCGACGACGGGUAGCCGGCCUGAGAGGGCGACCGGCCACACUGGGACUGAGACACGGCCCAGACUCCUACGGGAGGCAGCAGUGGGGAAUCUUGCGCAAUGGGCGAAAGCCUGACGCAGCGACGCCGCGUGAGGGAUGACGGCUC
This 387-nucleotide ribosomal RNA is filed under the name uncultured bacterium. RNAcentral's name for it is "bacterial SSU rRNA". It matches the Rfam family "Bacterial small subunit ribosomal RNA", at positions 28 to 417 of the family's 1533-position model. The record is from RNAcentral.